Molecule: long non-coding RNA, 1772 nt
Organism: Bos taurus (domestic cattle)
Lineage: Eukaryota; Metazoa; Chordata; Mammalia; Artiodactyla; Bovidae
Source: Ensembl
GGUGCAGAAAAGGAGUGACCUUGUGUUCUAGAUUUUGAACAUUGGCAUCAAAUGUUGAGUGUGUGGCAGCAAAAAUGGAAAUGAAGUGUUUCCUCUCCUGAGAACAAGGAAGUAAAGAGAAUGGUGAACAGGCUAGAGAAGAAAUGUAAAGGGGCCUGAAAGACUUAAUCACUCCUGGUUUUAUUUCACCUGUCACUAAUCUGUAGUGUCUGUUAGAUUCGUCCUUCACAAAGCUAACCUAUCGCCCCCUGAUGCUAUGUUUAUUGCAUCCUGCACCUGGCGUUAGCUCUCUCCUCACUCUCUUGAAGCAAAUCACCCCUUAUCGCUGUUUGCUUUUCAGAAAGAAGGUCAAAUGCAAAUGACCCAGAGACAAAUAAACCCAGUUACCGGACUGUUUUGAAAUAACACAAGAAGAAGAAAAACACAAGACCUUCAUUACUUUGAGUUUAUUAUUUACCCUAAAACCAUGAAAUCCAGGCUAUAUAACGUCUCUCAAUUCUCCUAGGAAGGGGGUACAGUCCUUGAGAUGCUAUCCUGCUGUGUCUUUUCCCCAUGCAUGGCAGCGGAAUUAAGCCAUCUUCCUUUUAUUGUUGCUAUUAUUAAUUUAUUUAUUGGCUGUGCAGGGUCUUCGUUGCUGCGCGGGCUUUUCUCGAGUUGCAGACAGCAGGGGCUGCUCUCUAGUUGCGGUGUGCGGGCUUCUCAUUGCCGUGGCUUGUCUUGUUGAGGAGUACAAGCUCUGGGGCAUGCAGGCUUCAGAAGUGGCACAUGGGCUCAGUAGCUGCAGCUCCUGGGCUUUAGAGCAAAGUCUCAAUAGCUGUGGUGCUCAGGCUUAGUUGCUCCACAGCAUGUGGGAUAUUCCCGGAUCAGGGAUCAAAGCCACGUCUCCUGCCUUGCAGGCAGCUUCUUUACCACUGAGCCACCAGGGAAGCCUGGGAGAAAACCCAGCAACAGCAGAGACAACUGCAAGCCUCCGCCCCUCCCAGUUCAGCCCCAUCUUCCUGGCCAGGCCCUCACUUUUAGCCACAGUCUCAGUCCAGCCUCACCCUGUGCCUGGGAAGUGAAGAAAGGCACUUCUAAACAAAGCUCAAGUGGCGGUUGGCUCCCCGCCUGGCCCAAAGGAGCCAGACUCGGCUAAUAGCAACGCAGCCUCCGACGACCCUUCACACUCUUCCCACACUGCCAAUGUCUGUUAUUGGCCCGGCUCCCACGGGAGCUUCGGCAACCACAGGGCCUCAGGCCACUCUGGAAGAAAGGACUCUGGUGGCUGUGGAAACUGGGGUCUGGGCUGGGAGCAGCUCUUCCACAGGCGAUGGCACUGGGGAGCAGCCUCUGUGUGUGUGUGUGUGUGUGUGUGUGUGUGUAGACAUAUCUAAGCACAACCCUCAGUUUCUUCAUCUGCAAAUGGUGGUGGUAAAAGCAGGUUUGGACUAGAUCGAUGGUUUUCUAACCUUUGUCUUUUGAACAGCUUCUCUUUUUCGCAAGUCAUCUUGUAUAAAAUCUGUUCUGAUUAUAAAGCGUUGGCAGGGCCGAUGAAGGGCUGGCCCCCUGGUAUCCCUUCCCACCCCGCCAGCCUGGCCUGCCUCAGUGUCCCUCCUCAGAAUUCCAGAUGUUCUCAGAGCAUGUUUGAAAAGUCACUAGGCUGGAUCCACACACACAACUACACCCAGACAGACACGCAGACCUAUACACUAAUGCACAAACAACAUACAAGCACAGACACACCCAGAGGCACACACAGACACCUAAACACAUACAUAGGCAGAGAGAUACAC